This 493-nucleotide long non-coding RNA is filed under the name Homo sapiens (human). RNAcentral describes it as "HSALNT0291092". The record is from RNAcentral. Lineage: Eukaryota; Metazoa; Chordata; Mammalia; Primates; Hominidae.
CCCUUGUGACUGGGCCUCAUGCCAAACAAGUCAUUACAGAAAGAGCUAGGGUCCCAGACUGCCCUGAAGCUUCAUGAGACCUCUCCUCGUGUGUGCACAGAUGAGUGGCCAACUCUGGAGCCAAGGCUGUUGCUUCCCAAUCUGGUGGUGAAUCCUCCAUACACUGGUGAGUUCGGUAUCUGACCCUGGAGCCUGGGCUGUUGCUUCACAGUCUGGUGGUAAAUCCUCCAUAGUCUGGUGAAUGCGGUGUUUGACUUUGGAACCCAGGCUGUUGCUUCCCAGUCUGGUGGUGAAUCCUCCAUAGUCUGGUGAGUGUAAAUAUACAUAUAUAUAUAUAUAUCUUUUCCCUUCUCCCCUUCCCAUUACAAUUUGUUAUUAUAUCAUGCGCUUAUUAUAUCGAUUUGCUUAUUUAUAUUAAUUUUCUUAUUAUAUCCUUUGCUUAUUAGAUUUUCAUUGCCAUUUACGUGGCAUAAAGUGUGUUUACCCUUAAAGA